UACGUAGGGUGCGAGCGUUGUCCGGAAUUAUUGGGCGUAAAGAGCUCGUAGGCGGUGUGUCACGUCGGCCGUGAAAACCUGGGGCUUAACUCUGGGCGUGCGGUCGAUACGGGCAUCACUAGAGUUCGGCAGGGGAGACUGGAAUUCCUGGUGUAGCGGUGAAAUGCGCAGAUAUCAGGAGGAACACCGGUGGCGAAGGCGGGUCUCUGGGCAGUAACUGACGCUGAGGAGCGAAAGCAUGGGGAGCGAACAGG
RNAcentral lists this ribosomal RNA (254 nucleotides) under uncultured bacterium. Its description in RNAcentral is "partial 16S ribosomal RNA". It matches the Rfam family "Bacterial small subunit ribosomal RNA", at positions 524 to 776 of the family's 1533-position model. The record is from RNAcentral.